CCCGGCCCGCGUCGCCUCAGUUCCCGCCGCGCCCACUAGUCCGACCCUCGGGGCAGCACCCAGGAAGGACGACUCGCCGCUCCGCGGGCCCCACGGCGUCCCGAGGUGACCCGGGAGGCCCCGCCCCGUGAGGCUGCGUCAGUGCUGGUGACGUCACGCCUGCAUGACGCCAGCGGCCGUGCGCUGACCUCCGGCCUGGGCGUGCUCUGGGCCUCUGGGGAGCGGAACUGUCGGUCCUCGGAGCUCCUGAACCGACGGCUGACGGCGCGAAGCACCUGCGCCCGGUGAAGGUUUGAACCUCCUCUCCCGUGUCAGGUCUUCACCCGGUGACGCACCUGGCGUCAGCUCGCACCUGCCUCCCGGGCCGGGUGUCUCAGGCUCCGCUGCGGAGACAGCGUCCGGGCCGAGCUCUCCAGCUGGCGCGUGCUACCCAGAGCUUCGGGGGCGGCCUCCCGAACCCCGCGGGAGGAUGAGCGACGCCAGCCUGUGUCACAGCUUCGGAGUCGAUGCACUGUGCGGGCCAGAUCCUUUGGACGCCUCUGACGUCUAAGAACCGCCCCAAACGCAGCUCCCAGGUAGGCUCCCCACCCAGUAUUGGGUUCAGAAGCUCACAACCUGAGAUCAAGAGUCACAUGCUCUACUGAUUGAAUCAGCCAGGAGCCCUGGAUUUUUUUUUCCUUAGUAAAAAUAGAAUGCAAGCUGGCAAAAUGAGAGGAAACAAAUCAGGAAAAGAAAACAGGAAAUAUUGGAAAGAUAAAUAGAGUCUUUCCUGUGAAGGGUGUUCUCUUCAUUGUAGUCACUCAGGACUGUAUGAAAUGCUGUCACUUACCCUACCAGGAGGACAAGAGGAUGCAGAGAAGCAUGCACUUGCUCUAAAACCUUCUGGCAAGAAGUGACACAGGCUGCUUAUGCUCACAUUCUGUUGAUGAAAGCAAGAACAGAGACCUAAUUUCAAGUGAGGAGUGAAGUACAAUCCUACCAUGUGCCUGGAACGAGGGAGAACCAGAAUAUAUAUGGCACUAAUGGCUGCCACAGAAAAGAACUGAAUAGUAACACCAACAAAUGCAAAAUGCAACAGUAACAAGUCCUAUGGAGGGAAGGAGGAAGACACUAAGCUAUGACUAUGUGUGCCAAUAAUGGGGAAUGUGAUCUAGUCAGAGGUGAGAAUAUCAUCCCCCUACCCUGUCUCAGGAAGGGGCACUGAAGAUUAGGAUUAGUAGGAGUUAAUGUAGAAAAAGGAGGGAAAAGCAUUUCAGACAGACAGAAGGACUGGUAAAAGUCCGCAAUGGAGUUGGAGGUGUUGGGUUACAUAGCUGGGAAAGUGAGGGACUAGAUGAGCCAUGUAGGCCAUCUCUUUUUUAUGAGAGAUUUAAAGCAAGGCAUGACAUAAUCAGAUUUUUUUUAAGCCCUUUGGUCUGGUGGCAAGAUAGGGACAGACCAUGUAGACGUGAUUGUAAUGUCAAGAAGGGAGACAGUGGUACUAUGGACUAGGAUGGCAGUUGCCAGGACAGAGAGCUCCGAUGAUCCCAAGUGUUAAUUCAUACUCCCCAAUCCAUACUCCCUGUUUAAGAUAAAUGUUCAGGGGGCGCCUGGGUCGCUCAGUCGGUUAAGCAGCCUGCAGUUGAUUUCAGCUCAGGUCAUGAUCUCAGGAUCCUGUGAUUCAACCCCACAUCUUCAGGGCUCCCUGCUUAGUGGGGACUCUGCUUGAGGAAUCUCUUCCUCUCCUCUGCCCCUGCCCCCUGCUCAUUCUCACUCAUUCUCUUGCAUUCUCUCUUCCUCUCAAAUAAAUAAAUAAAUAAAUAAAUAAAUAAAUAAAUAAAUCUUUUUUUUUAAAAAAAGACAAAUGUUCAUUUUUUCACUUACUUAUACAGCCAAUAUUUUAAUAUAUUCUGUUUCCUACAGAAUGUAUUUUAGGGUUUUUCAUGAAAUAAGGAUCACAUUUAAGAUAUCAUUUCAGGGGGUACCUGGGUGGCUCAGUAGGUUAAGCAUCUGACUCUUGAUUUCAACUUAUGUGGUGAUCUUAGGGACAUGAGACUGAGCACUGCGUCAGGCUCUGUACUAAGUAUGGAGCUUCCCUAAGAUUCUCUCUCUCUCUCUCUCUCUCUCUUUCUCUCUCUGUCUCUCCCUCUCUCUCCCCCCUUCCCCUGCUAAUGCUCUUCUCUCUCUCAAAAUAAAUAGAUGAUAGGCAGAUACAUAGAUAGAUAGAUGAUAGGUAGAUAUAUAGAUAAGUAAAUUUUUUUUAAUUUUCAUUUCAGUACCUUAAGCACUCAGGCCCCAAAUAUCAAAAUGCUUUUUUUAAACUAAAUAAUAAAAUGAUCAGAUUUACCUUUUGCUUCUGUUUUAUAAAUGUGACUCCUUAUAGAGAAAAUUUGUGUUUUAUUAAGCAGAAGAGCACCUGUUUAUUUAGCUGUGAGUGGUGGUUUUGUUUUUGCUUCUUGGUACUUACUAUGGAAGGAUGACUUUGUAGGAAGGACAUCAUCCAGCUAAUAGCAAACUUUGUUGAUCCCAAUCCAAGAUUUCCCUAAAAGACUCAAGGAAAUAAGUUAUGUUCAUGAAGUUCAAGUUGUGCAUGAAAGGAUAUUCAUUCUCAAAUACAAUUUAUCUUAAUUAAUGAAAUCUUUAUCAUCAGUAUUUAGAAAAAAUUAAAAGUAAUUCAGUAUUUAGGAAAACUGGACGAGUACUUAAGAGCAAAUGUAGUAUCAUUUAAGUCAGCCAAUUUUGGAGAUCAUCUCUAAUACAAGUAUAGUAAAUGUAUAUUAUUAAUCAUAUAUAUUAUCAUAGAUAUGUAAUAGUCAUGUUAUAUAUAAAAAAAUCACACAGUAUAAUAUGUAUAAUAAAAUAUAUAUUAUACCUGCUGAAAGACAAGAAGUAUCUCAUAUAAAAGUGCCGUAGCUGUAUCUGUAUAUUCCACAAUAAGCUUCUGUAACUAGAAUUUUAAAUAAUAAGAUAUCAUUGUUAGGGCCAAAAAAAAUAGUCAUUUCUUCUGUUUACCUUUAGGUACUUAUAAAAGAAUUUUUGGUUAACUGAAAAUAUAAUGAGUGUGGUCAGUUUUCCUGUUCUAUUUGAUUCAAUCGUUCUAAAAAAAAAAAACCCAAAAACGGCUUUCAUAAAAAGACUACACAUUGAAUAAUGUCUAAGAAAGUGGGUCAGGGAAAAAAGAUACAAUGGCUCAUAGAAUACUGAUUUGCACAAAAAAAGCACAAAAAAACUGAUUUACAAAAUCAUUCAGAUCAAGAAAUGUACAUCCUUUCAAGAGUAUUGAAAUAUGCUCCCUAGAAUUUAAGGUGGGCAAUUCUCUGGGAAAUUUAAUUUAGCCUUAUGCCUAACGUGAACUACAACUGCCUCUGUAACAUGGGUAAAUAUAGGGCUUAGAGAUUUUCUUCUCUCUCUCUCUCUUUCUCUCUUUCUCUCUGUCUCUCUGUCUCUCUCAAGAACUCCAGUUAGUGAGGCUGUCUUCUGGUCUCAAUGUCUUCUAGCCCAUUCAUACAUAUGAAUAUUUGUGUUAUGUUUAAUUAACAUCUCAACCAGAAUGAAUAUGAAUUUUUCUAUAUUUCUCUAAUAUUCAUAUGUAUGAAUAUUAUAUUUGUGAAUAUCUAUAAUAUUCUAUUAUAUUCUCAUCUUCAUUUUAUGUUUAAUUAAGACCUGUCUCUCUAACCAAACUAUAAACCGAUGAGGGCAGAGGUUGUGUCUGUUUUGCUUCUUGUUUGGACCCCACUGCCUACCAUACUGUUUAGCUCAUAAUAGAGUUACAAUAAAUAUUAUUAAAUGAAUGCAUAAAUUUAAGAGUUUUCUAAAACAUAAUGCUAAUUGUAUGUUUAAGAAGUAUUUAAUCAAAAAAUUUUAAAAAAGAACUAUUUAAUCAUAUCCUAUCCUUUAAAAGAAUUCUGUGUUGUUCUGCUCAAAAUAAACUAAUAAGCUGAUUUAUUCUCAGAAUAUGUGCUUUUUUGGUAGUCUGAUAUUUCUAAUGUAUUAGUAAAACCUUAGGAAAAAAAAUAAUUCUCACUGAGUUUGCACUACUUAGAUACAUAAAAGGGAUGGUAAACUAAAGCAAGAGAGUUAACCCUAAAAUCUCUUAAAGACAGUGUUUUUUACUAUUAGACUCCUAAUGUAGAAUUACAUACACAUAAAUAUUUUGUAUAGAGACAUAAACAGAUUUAUUUAAUGCAUACUGAAUACUAAUCAUUUUCCUUAGUAUUCAUAGUUUAAAACAUAUAAAAUGGAUAUAUUAUUAGUAUUAAAGAUUUUAUUUAUUCAUGAGAGACAGAGAGAGAGAGAGGCAGAGACAUGGGCAGAGGGAGAAGCAGGCUCCACACAAGGAGCCCAAUGCAGGAAUUGAUCCCAAGAGUCCGGGAGACACUCAACCACUGAGCCACCCAGGUGUACCUAAAAUGGAUGUAUUAAUAUUGAUAAUGGGUAUCUAAGUUUUGAGGUUAAUGGCAAAAUUUCCUCUUUGAUUUAAUUAUAUUUCUGUAUUCUACAAUGUCAUGGUCCACAUUAGAAAACAGGAAGCCAGGGUACCCUUAUAUGUUGUAUUUAGUCUACCGCAAAAUUCUCAUCUCACCUCAGCAUCAAAAGACAUCUCAACUAAAGUUGAAUCAGCCACCAACUGGAUAUCAAACACAGGAUAAGAUUUUGGAAUCUGAGGUUCACUAAUUAAAAUUACCAGAAGAUUAAACAAUAUUCCCCUAAAAAAAUAAAUAAAAGGCAAUUAAUGAAUAAAGUUUGAAAACAAUAAAGCCAAGUUUGCAGACAUUGAAUAAUACUUACAAGUAUAAACCACUGCAAACUAUUCUUGACUGAACUUUUGAAUUCCUGGACAUGCAAUUAACUAAGUAGUGAUAAGACAUUUAAGUGAAAAAUACGAUUUCUUGAUCUUCUGACUCAAAGCAAGUUUUUUGUUUUUUUUAAGAAAGUGUGUGAAAGCGUGAGAGCAGGAGUGGGAGGGGCAGAGGGACAGAAAGAAUCUUAAGCAAGCCCCACACCCAGCACAUAGCCUGACAAGGGGCUCAAUCUCAUGACCCUGAAAUCAUGAGCCAAAAUCAAGAGUCAGUCAUUUAACAGACUGAGCCAACCAGGCACCCCUCAAAGCAAGUAUACCUCUACAAGUUCACAUAGCUUAGAAAGCUUGGUAAGUCUGGACUUCAGGGAAAUUUGGGUGAUUUCAAUUAUAGCUGUAUUUUCCAAAGGGCUCUUUUUUCCCCCAAAGGGCUUUUUAUGGGCUACUAAUUCCAGGCAGUAUUAUAGUCAAAAUAGAUUGUGAUUGAAAGAGAAACAGGAAAUACUUAGUUAAACCAAAUUCAUGAGAUAUCUAUACUAUUAGACUUCUCAGAAGCUUUAAUAUGCUCGCAUGCACUGUAUAUCUCCAGGACAAAGAAACUUUUGUAUGAAGCAUUUCCUAAAAUGCUUUUUAAAAUUUUUUAAUUGAAAUAUAGUUGACAUACUAGUUUCAGGUGUAUAAGAUAGUGAUUCAACAAUUAUAUGCAUUAUCAAAUGCUUACCAUGGUAAGUAUAGUUACCAUCUGUCACCAUAGAAAGCUAUUACAUGAUUAACUAUAUUCCCUAUCCCAUACUUUUCAUCCCCAUGACUUUCUUAUUUUAUAUGGAAAUUUGUACCUCUUAAUCCCCUUUUACCUUUUUUUCCCAUCCCCUCAUCCCCCUGCCAUUGGGCAAUCACUUGUUUGUUCUCCGUAUUUAUGAGUCAGUUUCUCCUUUUGUUGUUAUUUUUUUGCUUUGUUUUUUAGAUUCCACAUAUAAGUGAAAUCAUAUGGUAUUUGUCUUUGACUUACUUCUCUUAGGAUAAUACCCUCUAAGCCCAUCCAUAUUGUCACAAAUAGCAAGAUUUUAUUCUAUGUUAUAGCUAAGUAAUAUUCUAUUGUGCAUAUACACAAUAUCUUUUUUAUCCAUUCAUCUAUCAGUGGAUAUUUAGGUGGCUUCCAUAUCUUGGCUAUUGUAAAUAAUGUUGCAGUAAACAUAGGACUGCAUAUAAUUUUUUAGAUUAGUGUUUUUAUUUUCUUUGGAUGACUAUCCAGAAAUAGAAUUACUGGAUAUGGUACUUAUAUUUUUAGUUUUUUGAAGAACCUCCAUACUGUUUUCCAGAGUGGUCGCACCAAUUUAUAUUCUCAACAGCAGUGCAAAAAAGAAAAAAAAAAAGAGAAUGGAACUCUUUUUUUAACAAAGCAUUUGAGAGGUUUUCUGUUCCACUGAAGACUACUAGCUAUUAGUUAAUAAAACUAAUAUUACUUUAAGUCUUUUGCUUUCAAAACCAGUGUACUACCCAUUAACCUACACUAAUAACUCAUUUAAAUUGUUACUAUAAAAAAAUAAAUUGUUACUAUAUGUUUGAAUAAUAUACCCUAUUUACUUGAAAAUAAAGAGAAAAAAAUCACACUCCAAAUUAAGGAUCCUGAGGAAUAGGGUUUGGCAACACCAUCUUCAUAUUUGUCAUGCAAUCUAUGUAUAGUUGUAAAGGAGCUGAAGGCGGACCACUAGGAAAAUCCGUUGCCUAACCAAAGAUAGUAUCAGAGUAGCUUUGACAGAUGGGAAUAGUAAAAGAAUUUAUAGAUAGGACUAUAUAUAAAUCCUCUAUAACCAUUAGCAUUCUCUUCAUAAUGGAAUAAAAGAAACUACAAACAAUCCCUAUUUAGUAAUAAUUGAGACUUCC
Long non-coding RNA from Nyctereutes procyonoides (raccoon dog), 6661 nucleotides. RefSeq lists it as uncharacterized. The transcript is spliced from 4 exons. Lineage: Eukaryota; Metazoa; Chordata; Mammalia; Carnivora; Canidae. The record is from RefSeq and is a predicted model, not a curated record.